UCCUGACUGACCGAUAGUGAACCAGUACCGUGAGGGAAAGGCGAAAAGAACCCCGGCGAGGGGAGUGAAAAAGAACCUGAAACCGUGUACGUACAAGCAGUGGGAGCACGCUUAGGCGUGUGACUGCGUACCUUUUGUAUAAUGGGUCAGCGACUUAUAUUCUGUAGCAAGGUUAACCGAAUAGGGGAGCCGAAGGGAAACCGAGUCUUAACUGGGCGUUAAGUUGCAGGGUAUAGACCCGAAACCCGGUGAUCUAGCCAUGGGCAGGUUGAAGGUUGGGUAACACUAACUGGAGGACCGAACCGACUAAUGUUGAAAAAUUAGCGGAUGACUUGUGGCUGGGGGUGAAAGGCCAAUCAAACCGGGAGAUAGCUGGUUCUCCCCGAAAGCUAUUUAGGUAGCGCCUCGUGAAUUCAUCUCCGGGGGUAGAGCACUGUUUCGGCAAGGGGGUCAUCCCGACUUACCAACCCGAUGCAAACU
Molecule: ribosomal RNA, 480 nt
Filed under: Shigella sonnei
Lineage: Bacteria; Pseudomonadati; Pseudomonadota; Gammaproteobacteria; Enterobacterales; Enterobacteriaceae
Description: partial 23S ribosomal RNA
Rfam family: Bacterial large subunit ribosomal RNA
Source: RNAcentral